UUUGUACCAAAGGAGACCGCCCAUCAUAAUCACUAUUCUUUGGAUUGGCUCCAGCCCGGAUUAAGCCAGUCAACUGAUGAAGGUCGCCAUAAAAAGCGGCGUUAUUAACUCUUAAGUCGGAGAUAGCACAUCAAGAAAAAAGAUGCAGCAUCUAUGAAUACUGGACUUAGAUGAAAUAAUUAAUGGCAUGUUGGUUGUUUCUACUGUGUACCUCGUGGUAUGAUGGAUUAUUCCUCCAGUGCUAGGCAAUGUACCAGUCGAUAGCGAGGCACUAUGGGUUUGUUCAAUCUUGAUUUGUCCAGGACUCCAAUUUUGAGAGGCGCCGCGUGAAUGCUCGCUUGCAUGUGUUCUUGGUUUUUUUAGGAGACAAAAACAAUGAAAUGGUCGAGGGCAGUAAUAUGCAUAGGGCUUGGGCGCACAAUCAGAUCGAAGCUGUUUCUCCCUUUUGUUUUAAAGACAUUGUUCGAUUUCAUUAUCUGGUUCAUCUUCCUCCGAUCAACAAUGCCUCGUCAUUAUCCAUCAGUAGAAGUAUCAUGUGACCUCAGCAGCCUUGCAAGCACUGCAGCUCUAACUCCGAAAUCAACCACACUAAACUCAGGUUUCAGAGAUGGCAACGGUGAAUACAGAGUGAAGUACGCCGGUACUAGUAUGUUCAGUUUGUAUGGCAGCAGAGGAAGGUGGACGUGUCCGUAUGGCAGC
Long non-coding RNA from Triticum dicoccoides, 699 nucleotides. RefSeq lists it as uncharacterized. NCBI's taxonomy places the organism in Eukaryota, Viridiplantae, Streptophyta, Magnoliopsida, Poales, Poaceae. The record is from RefSeq and is a predicted model, not a curated record. The transcript has 4 exons.